ACGGGAGGCAGCAGUGGGGAAUAUUGCACAAUGGGGGAAACCCUGAUGCAGCGACGCCGCGUGAGUGAAGAAGUAUUUCGGUAUGUAAAGCUCUAUCAGCAGGGACGAAUUCGGACGGUACCUGACUAAGAAGCCCCGGCUAACUACGUGCCAGCAGCCGCGGUAAUACGUAGGGGGCAAGCGUUAUCCGGAUUUACUGGGUGUAAAGGGAGCGUAGACGGUCCGGCAAGUCUGAUGUGAAAUCCCAGGGCUUAACCCUGGGACUGCAUUGGAAACUGUUGGACUAGAGUGCAGGAGAGGUAAGUGGAAUUCCUAGUGUAGCGGUGAAAUGCGUAGAUAUUAGGAGGAACACCAGUGGCGAAGGCGGCUUACUGGACUGUAACUGACGUUGAGGCUCGAAAGCGUGGGGAGCAAACAGGAUUAGAUACCCUGGUA
This 435-nucleotide ribosomal RNA is filed under the name uncultured Clostridium sp. Its description in RNAcentral is "partial 16S ribosomal RNA". It matches the Rfam family "Bacterial small subunit ribosomal RNA", at positions 341 to 792 of the family's 1533-position model. The record is from RNAcentral. Lineage: Bacteria; Bacillati; Bacillota; Clostridia; Eubacteriales; Clostridiaceae. RNAcentral also lists the same sequence under 2 other names.